RNAcentral lists this ribosomal RNA (252 nucleotides) under uncultured bacterium. Its description in RNAcentral is "partial 16S ribosomal RNA". It matches the Rfam family "Bacterial small subunit ribosomal RNA", at positions 524 to 776 of the family's 1533-position model. The record is from RNAcentral.
UACGUAGGGUGCGAGCGUUGUCCGGAAUUAUUGGGCGUAAAGAGCUCGUAGGCGGCUUGUCGCGUCGGAUGUGAAAGCCCGGGGCUUAACUCCGGGUCUGCAUUCGAUACGGGCAGGCUAGAGUUCGGUAGGGGAGAUCGGAAUUCUGGUGUAGCGGUGAAAUGCGCAGAUAUCAGGAGGAACACCGGUGGCGAAGGCGGAUCUCUGGGCCGAUACUGACGCUGAGGAGCGAAAGCGUGGGGAGCGAACAGG